AGUGAACGCUGGCGGUAGGCCUAACACAUGCAAGUCGAACGGCAGCACAGUAAGAGCUUGCUCUUACGGGUGGCGAGUGGCGGACGGGUGAGGAAUACAUCGGCAUCUACUUUUUCGUGGGGGAUAACGUAGGGAAACUUACGCUAAUACCGCAUACAACCUACGGGUGAAAGCAGGGGAUCUUCGGACCUUGCGCGAUUGAAUGAGCCGAUGUCGGAUUAGCUAGUUGGCGGGGUAAAGGCCCACCAAGGCGACGAUCCGUAGCUGGUCUGAGAGGAUGAUCAGCCACACUGGAACUGAGACACGGUCCAGACUCCUACGGGAGGCAGCAGUGGGGAAUAUUGGACAAUGGGCGCAAGCCUGAUCCAGCCAUACCGCGUGGGUGAAGAAGGUCUUCGGGUUGUAAAGCCCUUUUGUUGGGAAAGAAAAGAAGCAGGUUAAUACCCCGCUGUUCUGACGGUACCCAAAGAAUAAGCACCGGCUAACUUCGUG
This 492-nucleotide ribosomal RNA is filed under the name uncultured bacterium. RNAcentral describes it as "partial 16S ribosomal RNA". It matches the Rfam family "Bacterial small subunit ribosomal RNA", at positions 29 to 507 of the family's 1533-position model. The record is from RNAcentral.